AGUGAACGCUGGCGGUAGGCCUAACACAUGCAAGUCGAACGGCAGCACAGUAAGAGCUUGCUCUUACGGGUGGCGAGUGGCGGACGGGUGAGGAAUACAUCGGAAUCUACUUUUUCGUGGGGGAUAACGUAGGGAAACUUACGCUAAUACCGCAUACGACCUACGGGUGAAAGCAGGGGAUCUUCGGACCUUGCGCGAUUGAAUGAGCCGAUGUCGGAUUAGCUAGUUGGCGGGGUAAAGGCCCACCAAGGCGACGAUCCGUAGCUGGUCUGAGAGGAUGAUCAGCCACAAUGGAACUGAGACACGGUCCAGACUCCUACGGGAGGCAGCAGUGGGGAAUAUUGGACAAAGGGCGCAAGCCUGAUCCAGCCAUACCGCGUGGGUGAAGAAGGCCUUCGGGUUGUAAAGCCCUUUUGUUGGGAAAGAAAAGCAGCAGGUUAAUACCCCGCUGUUCCGACGGUACCCAAAGAAUAAGCACCGGCUAACUUCGUG
RNAcentral lists this ribosomal RNA (492 nucleotides) under uncultured bacterium. RNAcentral's name for it is "partial 16S ribosomal RNA". It matches the Rfam family "Bacterial small subunit ribosomal RNA", at positions 29 to 507 of the family's 1533-position model. The record is from RNAcentral.